GCCUGGGUAGCUCAGUUAGUAGAGCAUUCCCCUGAAGAGGGAAGGGUCAUCAGUGCAAGUCUGAUCCCAGGCACAA
Molecule: transfer RNA, 76 nt
Filed under: Candidatus Kaiserbacteria bacterium RIFCSPHIGHO2_01_FULL_53_29
Lineage: Bacteria; Candidatus Kaiseribacteriota
Description: tRNA-Phe
Rfam family: tRNA
About the family: Transfer RNA (tRNA) molecules are approximately 80 nucleotides in length. Their secondary structure includes four short double-helical elements and three loops (D, anti-codon, and T loops).
Source: RNAcentral